Molecule: ribosomal RNA, 525 nt
Filed under: uncultured bacterium
Lineage: Bacteria
Description: bacterial SSU rRNA
Rfam family: Bacterial small subunit ribosomal RNA
Source: RNAcentral
GACAUCCAGAGAACUUUCCAGAGAUGGAUUGGUGCCUUCGGGAACUCUGAGACAGGUGCUGCAUGGCUGUCGUCAGCUCGUGUUGUGAAAUGUUGGGUUAAGUCCGCAACGAGCGCAACCCCUAUCCUUUGUUGCCAGCGAUUCGGUCGGGAACUCAAAGGAGACUGCCGGUGAUAAACCGGAGGAAGGUGGGGAUGACGUCAAGUCAUCAUGGCCCUUACGAGUAGGGCUACACACGUGCUACAAUGGCGUAUACAAAGAGAAGCGACCUCGCGAGAGCAAGCGGACCUCAUAAAGUACGUCGUAGUCCGGAUUGGAGUCUGCAACUCGACUCCAUGAAGUCGGAAUCGCUAGUAAUCGUAGAUCAGAAUGCUACGGUGAAUACGUUCCCGGGCCUUGUACACACCGCCCGUCACACCAUGGGAGUGGGUUGCAAAAGAAGUAGAUAGCUUAACCUUCGGGAGGGCGUUUACCACUUUGUGAUUCAUGACUGGGGUGAAGUCGUAACAAGGUAAGCGUAGCGAG